CCCUUAGAUGUUCUGGGCCGCACGCGCGCUACAAUGAUGCAGGCAACGAGUGCCGCUCCUUAGCCGAAAGGCUUGGGGAAUCUUGAAAACUGCAUCGUGCUAGGGAUAGAUGAUUGCAAUCGUGCAUCUUGAACGAGGAAUGCCUUGUAAGCGUGAGUCAUCAACUCGCGCUGAAUACGUCCCUGCCCUUUGUACACACCGCCCGUCGCUACUACCGAUUGAGCAUUAGGGUGAAAUCUUCGGACCGUGGCAUACUUCUGGCCUAGCCGGUCUUUGUCCGUGGGAGGUCGCUUAAAUCCUGAUGCUUAGAGGAAGUAAAANUCGUANCA
Molecule: ribosomal RNA, 329 nt
Filed under: uncultured eukaryote
Lineage: Eukaryota
Description: partial 18S ribosomal RNA
Rfam family: Eukaryotic small subunit ribosomal RNA
Source: RNAcentral